UGAAAAUGAAACUGUAUUACAGAAAUGGUUAGAUAUGUGUAACAUGUUCAAGCAAAAACUGUGGCAAAAUGAUCAUUCAAAUGUUAUUUUUCUUAAUUGCAUUUACACUCACAGUCAAGACACUUGCGAUUGCUUUUUCAUUAAAUGUCCCGCAAUGAAUGUAGCAAAAUUCAAUGUGCACAUUGAAAAUGCAUUCCGAGCCGAUCACGCCCCUGCCCCGCCCCCUCCCGCCCUCUCCCGCCCUGUCAAUCACUGCAUCAAGGCGGGACUUGAGUUGUGUUGUCGGGGGUAUUACGCAGAAGGUCAAGAAGGUUCAAAAGUGAGGCAACAUGGACAAGUCAGUUCCACAGCUUCUCAGAGAAGCUGCCCAAGCAAUAGAGCGACAAAGUGCAAAUGCUGCCCCUUCAGAAAGGCCAUCGUCCAGCUUAAGCAUAACGCCUCCGGAUCGAAGUGGUGGGACACGGGGUAAGUUUGCAGAAAGAGAAGAGACAAGGGGUCGGUCGUCAAACGGUUAGGCCUAGGGUUGCCAACUUUCACUCGGGGUCUGGACUGUGGAGUGUAUUUGAUGUUCACACUCUUACGAGACCAUAGAGCGUCUGUACGAAAAGUGCUCGUUUUGGCCAAAAAAAAAACAAAACCUGCGGUCACACUACUAGACUUUAAGCACACGAAUAUAGCCCAAAAAUCGAAAUAGUCGGUCCAAAACGUUAAAAUUUCACACCUACUCCACUUCACUGCAAAAAGUUUGUAUUCUUUUAUUUCAGGUAACUUAAAGGUCAUGUCGUGAUGUAUUGAUUUUUAUUAGUCACGUCAUACGAAUUCGCAAUUAAUUUGAACUGUAAAGUGCAGCGAAAUUCGAAACUUCCUCGCAUGAACUCCCCCACUCGCAUGUGUUUGAAUGCAAGGCAGUUGGCAACCCUGAUAUAGCAUUAAACAGUCAAUUUAUUAAAAUACCAAAGACUAACAUGUAUUUCAUAUUUUAUUGCAGCAGAAGUUUUAAGAUUAUUUGCACCAUACUCAAAUUCACGGGGUCGCCUGCCUAAACGUCCCAACACUGCUGGACCUUCAGCAAAAAAGUCAAAAAGUGUGUCCUACACCCAUCGUUUUUUUUGCCUAUCCAAAAGAAAGGAAUAUGAGGUCCCAAAUCCCUCAGUGAAAAACAAAUUAGAGAGGGCAGGAAUAGGAGAGAAGAGGAUAACCUUUCCAGACAAAUACUGCACUCCACAGUAUUUUUCAGACCAUCUUUUUCAGCAUUUCCCCAUCUUGAAAGAGUGUGGCGGUUUCCAGCUCUUGCGAUCCAGAGGAUCAACACGUUCAAAAAUAUUAGAGACAAUACCCUGUCCAGACGUCAGAGUACCUCUUAAGUGAGUCUGUCAUGAUUGGGCAGGCUGUCAUAUAUAUAUCGGGCCACUCCAGAAAGAUAUAGACGUGCAGAUUCUUGAGAGUGACCAGCCUAUAUCCACUGGACCAAUGACAGAAUGCUUGUACUGCAAUGAGAAGUAUAGCCUGUCAGAAAUACAAGACCAUGUUGAUGUUUGUGAAAA
Long non-coding RNA from Xyrauchen texanus (razorback sucker), 1544 nucleotides. RefSeq lists it as uncharacterized. NCBI's taxonomy places the organism in Eukaryota, Metazoa, Chordata, Actinopteri, Cypriniformes, Catostomidae. The record is from RefSeq and is a predicted model, not a curated record. The transcript has 3 exons.